This 19857-nucleotide long non-coding RNA is filed under the name Ananas comosus (pineapple). RNAcentral describes it as "long non-coding RNA (ACOM_LNC010705)". Lineage: Eukaryota; Viridiplantae; Streptophyta; Magnoliopsida; Poales; Bromeliaceae. The record is from RNAcentral.
UUAGAAGAUCUACGUCCUUUUAAGUAUAAAAAAAUUUACUACCUCAAAAAGAACCCCAGAAAAAUGUAAAAAAAAAACCUAGUUUGUCGAUAUAGCGUUGGCACAACCCUGUGCCAUGUGCCAACACGGCCUCAGCAUGGUAUGGCAUGGGCAGCACAUGCAGUCCUUGGUUUAAUCUAUAAAUUCUUGAUCCAGUAGGACUUCAAGAGCUUGCUAACUAAUCCAUCUAGCAUUUCUCCGAUCCUUACAGUACCACUAUAGUGCCUUGCAGUAUCAUUACUGUGCUGUACAGUACUGCUAAAAUUCUUAGCAGUACUUGAUAUUUUUAUUGCAAUUUUCCUUCUUUCUGGACCUCUCAGUUUGGGGUGUUACGUAGCAUAACAAUAUUUGAUAAAAUAUGGUCUUACUUAUGUCAAUCAUUUCCAUCAGAAUAACUAUUUGUCUCAGUACUGGCGAGUGCUAUGGGUAACUUCCAAGUUUCUACUUUUGUAAAACUAAGCCGAUGCUCCAAAUUAGCGAAAACAGUUGUUUCAACCUGUUAUACUUGGUUUUUGCCUUUCGUGCAGUGAAGAAUCCAAUUAAUGGCAGUUCUUUUUUCAUCAUAGGUGACCUUUUUAGAUAUGUCUGCACACUUUGGAAAAAUUCAUGUACAAUUUUUUUGUCCUGUUAGGCUUGAUGUGGAUGAGAGUGGCCUUACAGCACUAGUACGGUUGAGCAAUGGUGACAUGAGAAAGGCUUUGAACAUAUUGCAGGUUCUGAUCUGCACUAUCUAACACUUUUAAGCUCUUUAUGCUUAUUUUUUUUUAAAAAAAAUAUGUGCUUCUGUUAACUACUUUGUUUUCAUCUAGGAUUCACUUGUUAGAUCAGUAGGAAGUCUGAUCUGCGCAGUCAUUUUUGUUCUCUACUUUGUUUUGAGUAGCUUGGUUAAUAAACUUGACCUAUAUGAUCUCCUUUAGCUCACUCGUUGACCAAUAAAGUGAAUAACAUUUUUUUUUGAUUUAGAGGCUUAGAGCUAGAUAGUCCUUCAUUUGAGGUCUGUAAGUUAACUUCUCUAAAUUUGCCAGCCUUCUCCUUAUUCUUACAUUGAGAUUUAUUCUCCAUUUCUGUUUUGCAGUCAACGCAUAUGGCUUCUCAACAUAUAACAGAAGAAGCCGUCUACCUUUGCACUGGAAAUCCAAUGCCAAAAGACAUUGAGCAGAUAGCCUAUUGGUUACUGAAUGAAUCAUUUACAACCAGUUUCAGAUGUAUCCUACACGAAUUGUUUCCAUUUCUAUGUUUUCUUUCUUAGUUAUCUUUUAAUCUGAAUAUACACAUGUUAUGAAUUUGUCCUUUACUUUGUUUAGAUAUAUCUGAUAUAAAAAUGAGGAAAGGAUUGGCGUUGAUCGAUAUUGUGAGGGAGGUUACUAUGUAUGGAUUUACAAACUCAUCUUUUUCCUUUUUGUUUACCCUUUAAUAAGUGGACUUUUCUUUUGUAGCGGUCUCUAACGAAUUGCUUUCUCAGGUUUGUUUUCAAAAUACAAAUGCCAUCAAAUGUCCAAGUAAAACUAAUCAAUGAUUUGGCAGAUAUCGAGUAUGUUCUAAAUUUUCACAUCUGGCUUGUUAUUAAUCUUUUUGCUAUAGUUGUGUAUCUAUUGCUUGUACUUCUUGUGUUUCUGAUGACCAUGAGUACGGUACGAAUGGAUAUAGUCAUGAUCAGUGCUGGGGACACAUAAGCUCAACCUAAGUAUCUUUCGUAUAUAGCAUCUGGAACAAGCCUUGCCUCAUUAUAUGUGUAAUCACUCUUUUUUUCAAAAAAAAAAAAAAAUCAAAUUUGUAAACUUGUACCAAGUAAUCUGACUGGGUAAGAUAGGGUUACAUCAGAUCAAUCUGGAUUUAUUCACUAUGUAGGAUUCAUUGUAAAACUUCAGCAGCUGGAAGAAGUUAAGGCUUAUAAUAGUCAUUUCAUUCAAGAAGAAGAAUCUGGUUUAGGUUUAAAUCCAAUUCUAACUGUACGAAAGCUGUGCAGUUAAAGAACCAAUGCAUUAGUUUUACAAUAUAUAUUCAAAUUAGCAUCAAACAAGCCAAAAGGUGUGCAGGCUUUUAGGUUAGCUUAGCAAGUGCCUUUGUUUCAGAUUUGCCAUUUUUGGAAGAUACACUAAUAUUCCAGUCCUAUAUUGGUAUGAAAAGUUAAUGCAUGAUCCUUCUGAAGCUCAAACCAGAUAUUUAAUGAUGGCAAGAUGUGUAUGUUGAGGCGGACGAGUGAUCUCGCAAAAAGAGAAUAAGAAGCAAGUUUGACUGGCAAAAGUUGGAAAUAGCAUUUCUCGAGUAUAUGUGGCUGAAAAUCUCAUAAAAUGGUUUUGACAUGUUGUAUAGGUAUGAGUUGCAAAAAUAAGUGUGACGACCCAAUAAUGCCACAUUGGGGAGGACAGUAAUUCCUAUGGGAAAGGAAUUUCUUGUAGGAAUACAAGGAUCAAGGGCUCUAGUAAUAAUAAUUGGGCCUAAACAUUUUUGGCGCGUGGUUUGGGCCUAAAAAUUAUAAUGCUAGCAGGUUGGGUCAUUAUAUUUAGUAUCAGGGGCGGUUUGUUAGCUGGAAGUGUAAGAUUGAUUUCACAUUGCCGGGUAAUAUUGAGCUAGGGAAUGAAAUCGCCUGGUAAUAUUGAGCUAGGGAAUUGGACUUGACGAGGACAUAAAGGUUUAAAUAGGGGAGUCUGUAAUGCUCUAAUAGUCCCAUAUCGGAUGAAAAAGAAAUUCCUUUUGGGAACAUAGGUACUAAGGCUGUAAUAAUAGUGUAACUAGACUUAAGCAUUUUUACUCAGCGGUUUGGGCCCAAUAAGUUAUUAGUACUAGUGGAUUGCAUUAUUAGAAUAAGUGACUCUUCAGAAGAUGCUUGAGAAUAGGAUGGCCAAAAAUGUUGUUGGAGAAGCAAGAAAAAGGCGUAACAUUUACUUUCAUGUCGGACCAUGUUUAAAUAGUGUUGACCACUGAGUGAGAGGAAACUAUCUAUAUAGCAAACCCCAAUAAGAGUGAUCAUGUAAACAGUUUAGCAUAACUAUAAUAACAGGGUUUUGUUUCAAGUAUAAUAUUUCCUCCUGUUUUGUAACACAUCCAAUGGGUUCUCAUCAUUUGCAAUAUCUACACCAUCAGUUCAGUUUAAUCUCUCUGCAGUUUCAAAUGUCAACACUAUAAAAACCAGAGAGGAUGCAAUGGGUGGCAUUUUAUAAUUUGUACUCUUGCAGCAACUAAAACUAUCAUUUUUUUAAAAAAUUAUUUGGUUUGAAGCAUGUAAAUGUUGCUUAUACUGCAUUUCUUAACCAAAAGCCAAAUGAAUGAAAACUUAUGUCUCCAAGCAAGAUAACGAUCUUGGAUUUAAUGCUGUUAAGUUUUUUUACCAUCCUUUAUUUGUGCUAUUUUCUUAAUUUUGGAGAAUGCAAGACAUUAAUACUUAAUGUUUAAAAAUAACAGCCCUGAUGGUUCGAAUAUCUUUCCCUGCAGGUAUAGGUUGUGUUCUGCAUGCAAUGAUAAGUUGCAGCUUGGAUCAUUGAUCUCUACUUUCACUAACGCCCGUUGUGCCAUUGUUGCUGCUGCGAAGUAACAUUGAAGUGAAGCUGCGGCCUUUUACUUUUCUGAUCUGACAAGAGAAAUUAUACUUUUUGGUGAAUCUGGCAUAAUUCAAUGAGGCUGUUUGGCUCCUGUGCGCAGCAAAUUGAGGGGAAUUGCUGUAACUUAACCAUUGUAAGAUAGCUUGUGUUUUGCAAAACUAUGUGUUGACCUGUUAUGAUCAAAAUCUGUUUGUUGCACUGGCCGUGUUGAGGCUGGAGGAAGAGUGGAAAUUGCGUUGUUAUUCGGUUCUCUAAUCUGCAUCGUUGUUGUGCUCUCUCUCUCUCUCUCUCUCUCUCUCUCUCUUUUUGUGAAUCAAGUUUGCUGGAGCUGCACAUUAGUUGUUCUUGAAUUGGUCAGAAGAAAAUGGAUUGACGCAAAAGUCAUGUAUUGCAUCUAUCAUUUUCUUAUUAGGAUUGCGAGGAGCAUUUACUUUUCUAUAACAAAUCUAAUUUCUGUUGGGAUUUCUUGCAAGUCUAUGAUUUUUCCAUGAUUUCAGCUUAACACAUUCUGCUCACAAACUUUUUUUUUUUUUUUUUUUCAGUUUUCUUUUUUCGUUUUACUGUGAAUUAUUUUCUUUUUGCUUUUUAAUAGAUUAUAUUUAUUUUGUUGUAAAAAUGGGACUUUAUAUCAAAUGCUCAGAAUUUUAUGCUGAAAUUUGUUCUGUCAUCAACUUUGUUGGCUAUUGCGGUUUGGCAGAAGAUUAAAUAUAAUCUCCGGCAGUAAACACUGGCUUAUCCCAACUAGUAAAUUUCCUUGUACAAGUUUGGGUUAUAAUGCAUUUGUUAUAUGUUGACUCUACCACGUUUAUGAAUCUCCAAAAUUCUAACAUUUCGUAUCACUGACUUUGUUCGCAAUAUCAUUGAUCCUGAAUUAACUAUCUUCAUUUAAGAACCUGCCAAAAUGGUGAUCGGUAAUUAUCUAAAAAUCAGAAUAAUAAGUCUACAGAUUUUCAUAUUACAAAAUCCUGCACAUAGAACUAUGCAUAAUUGUGCGUCUUUACAAUUUCCUAUCUUGCUGAAUUUCUGAAUUAAAAAUUGUGAAAGGCACUACUCCUAAAUAAUACAAUAGGUGGGCAUUCCUAGAAAUGCAAAUGGAUCUAGGUUGGAGCUCCGGCCUCAAUCCAUCCCGAAGGGAGCGCUAAAUGGGAAUACAAAAUAUAGAAAAAUAUAAUUCAUUUUGAAUGGAAAUAGAAAAUAUAGAAAAAUAUAACCUGUUUUGAAUCCGCCCAUGAUCUGCCAAGUAAAUGGAGUCGAAGGCGGAAGACCUUUUUCUUCCUUCAAUCCGCUUCGAUCCGUCAAUAAUCUGCCAAAAAUUCACUUCUGUCCCAAAUAGGAUGAUAAAUGAGUCAAAAAUAAAAUAAAAAAUAAUUCACCCUGAAUCCGCCCCACCUUAUAAGAAAUGGAGCGGGAGGUGGGGGAACCCUCCCCCCUCCCCCGGAUCCACCCUGUUUGGAUCCGAGACACUCCCCUAUAUGUCCAAUAUUUUUUUUAAAAAAAAAAUAGCACGAUAUUUAUUUUAUUUAUUAGAUAAAUAAAUUUAGUUAUAUAAAAUGAGACAGUUAAGGUCUCAAAAAAAAAAAAAAAAAGGUGAAAAAUUAAAGAAAAAAUGAACUAAAAAGAAAACCAAAAAAGAACUAAACACGUGUUAUUUCAAAGAAAGCGUGUGUGUGUGUGUGUGAAUCAGUACAUUGGACUAUAAAUAAGAGCAACAUUACGCAGAAGCUAAAACGGUACCUGUAAAUUAAUUAUAAAAUUAAAAACUCAUAAUUACAGCAUGUUGUGGCAUCCGCAACAGUAUUAGUAUAUGUGUGCAAAAUAAUAAUGGAAGAGAUGAUCACGCUUGGAAAUAUAACACUUGUCAAAACAGUACACCGGAUUCGCCACAACGAAUGAUAUGGACUCCUCUCUUCCAUCACGAAUACACACUGGACACGUGUCAAAACAUUUCAUGCCGAUACUCUUCUUCGUCCGUUGGAUCAACUCUAACAUCCUUCCCCGCAGCGAAUCCCCCCAAUCUUUGUUCUUAUUUUUAAUUGUCUCGGCUCUCACCAACCGCCUCUCUUUGAACGGCGACCCAAACCUACGAAGCUCUCUCGCUCCGCCAUUCCCCACGUCCACGGAAUUCCAAAUCCCUAACCCUAAUUCUCGUCCCCGUCCCCCCAAAUCCCCUAAUGCCUCUCCAAAUUUGGAUUUGAAUUCGGAGUGGAUCUUUCGAUCUCUGUGACAUGGGCACACCUCAUGUGAAUCUCGAUCUCAAUGGCGCGGAGAUCCGCGGAGAAUUGGACGAGAGGAACCCUCCAAUCUAUUUGCCCAACCAACCCUCAGAUUCCCCUCUUCUCGCGCUUGAUAUCGGAGGUAAGCGUUUUUUUUUUUUUUGUUUGGCCAAUUUUGUGAUCGAAAUGGUGUUAAAUUUGUUUCGAUUUUGAUGUGCCGGUUCGAUUUUGUGUUAAAUUUAGGGACUUUGAUCAAGCUCGUGUACUUUUCCAAUGGGAAAGAGGGGAAUGCGGGGGGUGAGAGAGGGGUUCGGAAACUUGGUGGGAAGUUGCAUUUCACGAAGUUUGAAACGCGGCGACUUGAUGAGUGCUUGGAUUUUAUUGUGUCAAAGAAGCUCCUUUGUGGUAAGAAUUUGCAAGCAUAUGCCUUUGUUAGGGUUAUUGUUUUACUUGCCAUUAAUAGUUACCAUGCCUUAAAUUGCCUUUAUGUCUCUUGAUGAGUUGAUCAUCAUGCGUUCUGUAAGAGAUAAUUUUGAGGUUCUCUUACUUACAUUUAUUGCAUUUAUCAUCCCAAGAGCAUAUAAAUGUUUGAGAAGAAUUUAACUAACGAAAAUGAUAGCCGAUGUUGGACUGGAUUUGAAGUUUUCUUUAUGCGUGGAAUUUUGAGGGAAUAUGUGUUCUCGUUUUCUUGGAAAGAAAAAAGGCGGUAAAUUACAUGUUUGGUCUUCAAACUAUGAGGCGUGCGACACUUUGGUACUCAAACUUUACUUUGUUGCAAUUUCUAGUUCGAACUUUUUUAUUAAUGCAAUCAAGUCCCACGACCAAAUUUAGUUGACUAAGCGGUUGUUUGGUUCCACGUAAAACUGUGGAAAAUAGUUUUCAGUGGAAAAAAAAUUUUCGGAGGAAAAUAAAUUUUACGGUGUUUAGUGUUUGGUUUAUAGGAAAGAAAAAUAGAUUUCCAUCACGGUUGUUGGUUGAAAGGAAAAGAAAGAUGAAUAAAAACCUAUUAUAUAUAUUUUCUUCUAUUAUAUAUAUAUUAUUAUAUUAUUGAUAUAUAAUAUAUAAUAAUCAUUAUACUACAUAUGCUAGUUUAUAUUUAUAAAUAAAAUAUAUUUUACAAUAANUUGUUAGGAACUUAGGAGUAUACGGGCUGCUGAACUCUUAAUAGCACAAUAGUCCUAUUCUCUCUCUCUCUCUCUCUCUCUCUCUCUCUCUCUAUAUAUAUAUAUAUAUAUAUAUAUAUAUAUAUGUAAAGUUUGAGAAAGAGAGGUCCACAGUGGGAACUCUCGCGCGGUCCAUGAGAAUUGGCUUUUCUCGUGGACCACGAGCACACAACCCUUGGGCCGCUUGUUUUUGAGGAGAAGGUUUUCGUUUUCUGCAUGACAGAAAUGGAAAACGAAAACCCAACUUUUCAUCCAAAUCCAUAAAAUAUUUUUCUAUGUAAAAUAAUUUUACGGCCAACCAAACAGCCUGAAAAAUAUUUUUCAGACUGAAAAGUAUUUUCGGGCAAGUUUUACGAGGAAACAAACACACCCUAAAUGUUGAUGUGUCGCUAAUGUAGAAGUGAUGUAGUAACGUUGUGAUUGAUGAUGAUGCGAUAAUAAUUAAGAUGCUAUAUCACUUCUACAUUAACGUCAACAUUAACGCUAACGUAGGAAUUUUGAGGGAAUGUGUUCUCAUUUUCUUGAAAAAAAAAAAAGAAGAGAGGAGGUAAAUUACAUGUUUGGUCUUCAAACUAUGAGGCGUGUGACACUUUGGUACUCAAACUUUACUUUGUUGCAAUUUCUAGUUCGAACUUUUUUAUUAUUGCAAUUAAGUCCCACGACCAAAUUUAGUUGACUAAGGGAUUGUUUGGUUCCACGUAAAAUUGUGAAAAAUAGUUUUCAGUGGAAAAAAAUUUUCGGUGGAAAAUAAAUUUUAGUGUUUGGUUUGUAGGAAAAGAAAAAUAGAUUUCCAUCACGGUUGUUUGGUUGAAAGGAAAAGAAAGAUGAAUAAAAACCUAUUAUAUAUUUUUUAUUAUUGCAUUGUCGUUUGAAUGUUCUUUGUUGUUAUUUCAAAAGUGUUGUAAUUUCUUUUGACCUUUGAGUUACUGCAAUGCUCUUAUAUAUGACUAAUAAUGCCUCUACAUCUUAUUUUACUUCUAGGUUGCAACUUAUUUUACAUUUCUUAUGCUAUUCAUUGUAAACUUACAUUGCCAUAAUUGUCAGGAAUGACUACAGGGUCAAGUAAAGAACAUGUGGUAAUAAAGGUAUGAUCCUUCCUUGCUACUGUUAUGCAAAUUCUUUUAGGAGAUUCUUUCUGAAAGUUAAGGCACCAUACAGAGACCUAAUUGGAACUCCAGGAUUGUUUUUUGAGACUUAUUUGAUUAGAAACUAGAAAGGCAAAAGGCCUAAUUGCUAGUACUAAUGGUGAACAAGAAUUUUAUGGCUAAUAUGUAUCAUCUGAAGAAAAUAUUAUUUAUACAAUUGAUUCAAGUUAUUGUAUUAGGAGAAAAUGUGUAUUGGUCCAUAUUUUGUUUUAACUCAUUUCUGAAACACUUUAAUAGGCUACAGGUGGUGGAGCAUUUAAAUUUGCUGAUGUCUUCAAGGAGAAGCUAGGUGUUUCUCUUGAUAAGUUGGAUGAAAUGGAUAGUGUUGUAGCUGGAGCAAACUUUUUGCUGCAGGUUCAUUACUGAAACUGUUCUCUUACAGAUUCAUCUUAAUUUGGAACUUUAUAGUUAGAGCAAACUAACCUUUUGUGCUGUUGCUGCUCACUACAAUGAAUAACACUACUCAUUUCUACAGUUCUUAAGAUCUACUUACAUUUUUGUGGUUUCCAUGUAAAACUUGCUACAUGAUUUUGCCAUUAAGGAGAUUCUUAUUAAGGAAUCUCAAAGAGAAGAGAUAAGGAGAUAUGAAAAUUGUAUAAACAUCACCAUAUGUUGGUAAAUUGCAUUAUUAUGUACAUUAUGUAAAACGUAUCGUAAUGAGUUUAAUUACUGACAGAAAACAAUUAUAUUGAAGAGUAUGCAAGACCUGGUUUAUAUCAUGUAUAAUGCGCAGAAUGAUUAACUAAGUGGGCUUAUAUUUCUUUUUCAGUGUAAAAUAAGGUUUUUGUGCAACAUCAUUUGUCUUUGUCAAGAUGUUAUUCAUACAAAGUGCUUUUGGGUUCACUUUAAACUGUCCUAGCCUUUGUUCUUUUUUGCAGAAAAUUCCUGGUGAAUCCUUCACACACAUGAAUGGAAAACGGACUCUUGUAACUAUUAGUCCGAAGAACUUGUUUCCAUACCUUCUUGUCAAUAUUGGCUCAGGUGUUAGUAUAAUAAAGGUAAUUCUGCAUAUGGUGUGCUUGGUAAAAAUUUCUAAUGAUGAUCCUAUUUAGUUAGAUAUUUUUCAUCAAUUCAAUUUAGGUCACUGGAACUAGGAAGUUUGAAAGGGUAAGUGGGACCCACAUCGGUGGGGGCACCAUGUUUGGUUUAGCAAAACUUUUAACUGGUUGCAAAAGGUAUGUUACAUUUGUAUCAUCUGUUAUGCAUAUGCUUAUGCAUUUGGUUCGACUCACAUGCAUGUCACUUACAGUUAUGAUGAGUUCUUGAAGUUGAGCCAGAAAGGGGACAAUCUUGUUCUUGAUUUGAUUGUCAAAGAUAUUUGUGGGGAACUGGUUUGCCAAAAGGUAUCUUUUCUACUGUUUGGAUUUCAUAUUCUUAUUAUUUAGCAAUUACCAGAAUUAAUCAAGGAUGGUAUGCUUUCAUAUUGUCAAAAGUUGAUUGUAGUAACCUGCUGUUCUUUUAUUAUAGUUACCAUUUGUUUAGAGUUAGUAAUUGUUUGCUUAUCUAGUUUAUUUUAGCACUUUUGGUGGUUUCUGUUGGCAUAAUAUGGUUUUAGUGAUCACUUUCUUUUCAUUUAUGUCUCAGCAAGGUCUUUCAGCGUCAACUCUUGCUUCUAGCUUUGGGAAAGUGAUAACGUCUAAAAGGAAGCUCGCGGAUUACAAACCUGAGGACCUUGCUGCUACCCUAUUAAGUGCUUUUACUUAUAACAUUGCACAAGUAAGUUUCUUUCUGGCUUUUUGAGAUUUUUUUUUUAAACUUAAUCGAUUGGCAGAAUCAAUAUUCUGAACUGCCAAGUAGCUUGUUAAUGUUCUGUUAUCUUCUUACCUUUGUCAGAUCAUAGUAACUUUGUAUACUACUGAUUAACGCUAUCAAAAGAUCUCCUGAUCUUGUCCUGUUGUGAAGGUCUUGGCCGAUCAAAGGAUAAAACAGUUCAAGAUGUGACCAUAGAAUAGAACAGUGUGAAGUUCCUAAACAGAAUGAAAACGUAAUAAAAGCAAGAGCUACGAUCCUUAAGCAGUGUAAAAAGAUUUGAGUAAAAAAGAAAAUUAGUGUAAAAAGAUUUGAGGAAAAAAGGAAAAUUAAGAGAAUAAUACUUUAGAUGUUAAGGGCAUGCAUUUAAUUAUAAAGGUGGCCAGACAAAGAGAACCCAUUUGUGGUUUUUUUUUUUUUUUUUUUUNGGGGGAGGGAUUGGGGUGGUUCAUGGAAGGCCAUUUGACCUUUUCAGAUUGAAAUGCUCUAAGCUAUGAGUGGAAAAUAUCUUUCUGUGAGCAAUAACUAUGCAUUCAAUCAUUAUAAAUUGAAGGAAAAAACAAACACAUUGAUUAUUAUGAAACAAGUUACUAAUGCUGGUUCUUGUACUUACACUAUUCCUUCAGAUUUCUUUCCUUGUAGCAUCACUCUUGGGGCUCAGGAAGGUUUUCUUUGGAGGAUCGUAUAUUCGUGGUCAUACAAGCACAAUGGACAACAUUAGUUAUGCAAUUGACUUCUGGUAUACUUCAUGAAUUACAUUCAUUGAGCAUGCAAAACAUGACAAAUUUAUUUUACUCGUUAUCCUUGAUGUUUAAUAAUUCAUAAUUGGAAAGGCUUUCUUUUUGCUUGUGUUUGCUUUCAUUGUUAUGCUUGUCAUUCAGGUCAAAAGGUCAGAUGCAAGCACUCUUUUUACGCCAUGAAGGGUUUUUAGGAUCUCUUGGUGCAUUAACUAGUUAUGGAAACAUUGAUACUGAUAGCCUGACACUUGAGGAUUCAAAAGAACAAGUGAGUUAAGAUGAGAAUGGUGAGAAACUAGUAUAUGAUUUUUAUGUAGAGAUACUGUUGGAUAUUUAUACGAAUUGCUGCAAGUUCUACUUCAGAUUAUGUUUUCUCAAUCUUGUAAAUUUGCGAUAUCAACGUAAUGUUGAAUAAUUCUCCUUAUCAACUAGAACGUUUCCUCUCUAAAGUUAUAUAUUAUCUUCAUAAUAAUCUUAUGACUGGGAAUACAUCUAUCUGUGCUUGUUAUUGGUUACAAGAUGUAUAUCACUAUCUAGUAUAUUAGAUAUAAAAUGCAUUAUAACAUAUAAGAUUUAGAAUUCCUGAUAGCAUGGGCAAGGGAGCUAUUUGCUAGGGAUAUUUAGGUGUUACCAUCAGAUAUGACAAUCUAGGUAGACCUCUUAUAUUGACCACCAGCAUUGUUCAAAUUUCACAUUGAAUUUCUUUCUGUUGUUCACGUCUUCUUUCUUUGAUCUUUUGGUCACCUCUAUGAUCGUGACUUAAAUAGACCAGUUUCUAUGCAUUUGGUCAAAUACAAUCAUGUAAUCAUGGUCUCACAUUAACUCCAAAACUUUUCCGCUGAGCAUUCUCUGGGUCUUGUUUUUGUUGACCUUUGAAGUAUUGCAUCUUCAUUAUCUGUAUGGUUGGUAAAACUGAAAUAUAAGAUCUGCUAGAAUUUAUAACUUGAGUGUCGCUAAUUGUUUUAAUGCUACGUUCUUAUGGAAGUAGUGGCUUCAAUAAAACAAACUUUUAUGAUAAAAAUUUAACUUAAGCAAAGUCAACAGUGUGAUAUUUCUCUCUCCAAUUAUCCUUCUUUGAAUGGUGAUAUUUUUUUUUUUUCAAAGGCUUCUCUCCACCUGUUAUGUGGAUGUUAGAAGUAAUUAAUCUUCCUUGUUUUACCAUUAUUUAUGCAGGAUAUAUUCCAUGACUCAUCUGCACCUAUUGAUGGAAAGUUAGCAGCUGAACAUACGGAAAGCAACAUCUUUCCUUAUCUACUUGUUAAUAUUGGCUCAGGUGUUAGCAUGGUUGAGGUCAGUCUUCGAUAAUGUACCACUCUAGCUAAUUACACAAUUUGUUGGCAUACUUACUAAUUGUCUGCAAUAUCUAUUGAGUAGGUGAUUGGAAAGGGAAAGUUUGAGCGUAUUAUUGGGACCCACUUAGGUGGCGGUACUAUCCUUGGUCUUGCAAGGCUGCUGACGGGCUGUUCCAGGUAAAGACCAUUACAACCUGUGUUUCAAAUAGAAAUUCUUUAGAAAUUUCAUUAUUACAUGCAUACUGUUUCUUUGUAGUUAUGAAGAGUUUUUGGAGUUGAGCCAAAGGGGUAAUAAUUUAUCAGUAGACUUGACUGUUGGGGAUAUAUAUGGUGAGCAAGGUUAUCUGAAGGUAUAAUUUCUUCCCUGUGGUUACAGAGGAGAAAACUACAAGAUGCAUUCACCAUCUGAUUAGAACUUUCAAGCUUCAGAAGCGUUAAUUACAAAAGAAAUAUUCUCUUAUUUAGAUUGUCUUUGUAUCAGUUUCAAUAGUAUGAGUUCACUGAUUGUAUGUAUCAGUGAUUGAUUUUCUAAUGGUAUCUUACUUGUUUUAAUUAUCAUAGCAUGGUCUCCCAGCGUCUACUACUGCUUCUAGCUUUGGGAAGGUAAAUUCGAACAAGCUUUCAGAUUACAAAGUAGAGGAUCUUGCUGCAGCUCUCUUGAGUGCUUUCAGUUACAAUAUUGGACAAGUAAGCUGCCUCUCUUAGGAACAAAUAGUUCUGUUUAGCAGGGAAGUAUGAUCUGCAGGAAGUAAUUUGUUUCUAUAACUGUUAUGCUCUUUGAUUUCAUAGACCUGAUAUAACAUGGUCCACUGAAGUUUGAGAAUAGCAUCUAAGAACUCUUCUCCAGUUAGAAAUUGAAAGAUUGUUUCUUUAAUUAAGACAUUGGAUGCUCAGAGCCACUGCAACUUAAUUCCCAACAUUUACAUUUUUAAUGUCUCAUAUGGAGCCUUAUUUCUGCCAGACCUACUAGUUUGUUAGUUUUGGUUUGUGUAAUGCUACAUCUAUUCAUUGGCUUGUAUGUGCUUGCUUAUAAUUUUUUCUUGAUGUUUGUUUCAGAUAGCCUAUUUCGUGGCAACUCUAUCAGGGAUGAAGAGAAUUUUCUUUCGAGGAACAUACGUUUGUGGUCAUGAAAAGACUAUGGACAAGAUUUCUCGAGCACUUAAAUAUUGGUAAUACGCAUGGCUUUUGACUUGUUUAAUUUGAUUCGGUACUCUGUAAUUUGCCAGUAAUUUGCUAAUAUCGACAAAUCUCUUGGCCCUUUCCUGCCCCUGAUGUUUUUUUUAAUGAUCUUUCAGGUCCAAAGGCCAAGUCCAAACGACAUUCCUUUGCCACGAGGGAUUCUUAGGAACUCUAGGAGCUUUUUGGAGCUAUGAAAGCAUGGGCAUUGACGGCUUGGCCGCCCCUGAGGUCAUAAAGGAGGUCUUGCUUGGCGCUCCUUACACUGGAGGACAAUUUCCAACUCUACCUCCGAGUCAGCAGAAUGACCGUGUAAGCAAAUGCUCACUUAUUACGGGUUAAUCUUAGCUUAGAAAACUAGCAGUUGAUGAUCAUUGAUUCCUCUGUUUGCAUGGUUCUACAUCCCUUUUUUAUGAUUCUCUGCUUCUUAUGAGGAAGUCCUAAGGCACAGUAGUGUGGCUGUCGCAAGAUGCAGCUCAACCUUAUGCAUGUUUUUCCAAAAUGUAACUGUGGAGACUAGAUUAACAUCCUGCGCACAUGAUGCGGACUAAGAUUAGUUAGUCGAGAUUGCAUUGCCGUAUCUAUGCACCGUUAAGGAACUAACAUGAGCUUAAGCAUUGGGAGAGUUGGUUAGCACUGGUAGUUUAAGCUUUUGGGAUAGUUGGUUAGCACCAUCUCUCUGCGGACAAGUAUCAUCAUGGAUUUUGUUUUCCAAGAACGCUGCUUAAACAAACACAGGCAUCGACGUGAUUGUUGGGGUGCAAAUUGUAACUCCAAUUGAUUUGCUGACAAUGGUUUAACUCACGAAUUUCUUAACUAAACCCUAUAUUCUUAUUUCCUUCUUCUACUUGCAACUCUCUCUUGUCUUCCGCAGAAUGAUGCUAUCGACCUCAGGACAGAAGUUGAGAAGCUAAAACAUGACAAUGCAAUGCUCAGAGCCAUGGUAGAAAGGCUACAAUGUGAAAAUGAAGAGCUCAAAGCUAAGUCUCGGCAAUCAUAGCAUAAACAUUAUAUGACAACAUCCCAAGAAAGAGAUGAUCAGUUUCGCAACAUGAAGCAAAACAACAAAAUUGGAGCAAAUAAGGUUUCGAGCCCGGCAUCAGAAUUUUGGCUACAGCUUCUGGGCCGAAAAUUAUCCCAAUCUUUUAUGUAUUAUUGUUAUUCAUGUUAUCGAUCUGUUUGUAUGUAGAGUUAGAAAUGUUUUUGUAGUUAGUUCCAAAUUGUUGCAUGUUUUUCAUAAGCCCCUUCUAGUAUGUAGACUAUUGAAUCUGCACUUUCUUUGGUAUCAAAUGAUUGUAGAACCAAGAUGAUUUGAUUUGUAACAUCAUAAAUUGAAGGGAGUUAAUUUUAAACUAACUUCUUUAUUUGAAAUGUAAUAUUGGAUUGAAUUGAGGUGCCUUUCUUCUGAAUAAGGAUUUUCACACUUGGUCAUUUUAUAAUUUAAUAAAGAGAGUCCAAUUUAAACCUUCAUGUUUAGUAGAAUUAUUUGGCCAAGAAGCAUUAUGUAAAAAUGUUCUUUGCAAUUCCAUUGCUAUUUUUCCACAUUUUAACCUUCAUAUUUUUUAUGUUCUUGUAAGGUUCCAACCUGAUACUGAGAUUACUGAUACUCGAAAUCCUGUCCUCAGAAAGCAAAAUAACUCGUGAGUUUUGCAAAUUCGAGUUCGCACUCCACAAGUGAUGCCUAUUACUUUUAAACUAAGAAAAUUCAAACCUCUUAUUAAUGUUCGCACAAAAAUAAACAUACCGAAAAUGAUGCAGAACUAAAACAAAAUCAUGAUUAGCAAGAAGCAACAGAAAUCGAUCAUUAAAACUUUUGUUCUUGAAAAUAAAAAACAAGAGAUUAUAAACAAACAAAAAAAAGAAAAAAAAAAUCAAAGCGUUAGUUGGUAAUAUUUUCAAAUAAAGUGUCCGAGCAUCUGAAUGCAACACGCCGCACCGCAUACGAACGGCGAGUGCCAGAAUCUCAGCUCGAUUUCGUUCUCGGCAACGUACAGCGCUGAAGACGCUACAGCAAAAGAAGCGCAUCAGAGACUCUAAUUUAUUGCCUUUUAUUAUACUAUUAUUAUUAUCAUCAUCAUCAUCAUCAUCAUCAUCUCUGUUGUAAUCUUCCUUUUAAAAAUAAACUAAAAAAAAAGGAUUAAAUAGGGCAAAAAAAAAAAAAAAAACCUAUUCCUAAAAACGCAAAAAAAAAGAAGAGAAAAAGAUAGGAGUCUCAGAGAGACAAAAUAGAGGAUAUCAACACUGCUUUUGUUUCGUGGCAUCAGCGUUUGAUGGUAUCUUUGUUCCCUCAUCACAGACCAUCCAUCUUCAUCAUCUUUGUAACAAAAUACGAGAUAAAAUUUAAGAAAAAAAACAAAAAAAAAGAAAGUAAAAAAAAAAACCAAAAUAAGGGGCCUCAGAAGCUUGAUUGGCAUAAAAAGAAAUUCGCAUCAAAGAGAAACAUCUCAGAUGGUACAGACAAUAAUGGUACAUCAUCGGCCCAUUACAUUAAAUUAAUAAUAAUAAUAAUUAGAUCGUGAUAGAAAAGAAAAAAUUUUACACCUUGAUGAUUUUGUGGGUGGGAGGGAGCUUCAAGGUUCGGAGCGAUUGAGAUGGGCUUUGGUAGAUUAUAUAUAUAUAUAUCGAGUGCCAAGGGGCAGGAACGAAGAGAAACCCUAAUUCGUAAACUUUUUGGUAUUUUUGUAUUAUGAUCCCUUCCGAUUUAUGAAAUUGCAAAGCAACUUUUUUUCUUUUUUUUUUUACUUAACAUUUCUCUUUUCUUUGUGUUAAAAUAUUUUUAACUUGGGGGUGUUUGCUUCGGCAUAAAAUAAGACCCAAAAUUAUUUUCGGUAAGAAAAUAUUUUUUUACUUGUUUGGCUCGAAGUAAAAUUUAUAUACAAAAAAUUUCAAAUACCCCAUCUAGGUUUAUCAAAUAUUCAUUUUAGUAUCAUUUAGUUUUAAUUUGUCACUGAUUUAAUGAAAAAAAUUAGUCGAAUGGAUGAUAAAAAAAAAGAAGAAAUCACCGGAUACUAAAUUGAUACACUUUAAACUAUAUAGUACUAAAGUGAAAAAGUAUAAAAUCGCAAGAGUGGUAUGUGAAGCCUUUCCUAUAUUUUUUAGGCUAAAUUAUAGGAAGCUCCUCGUCAAUAUUCGCCAAUUCACUUUCUCCCUAUUAUUCAAUAACCUACACUUUGACAUUUUACAAAAUGAAAAAUAUUCACUUCGGCUCUCGCCGUUAGUGUUUUAUUAGGAUUCUGUUUAUAUUUAUUUUUUAUAUCCAAAAUAUCUCUGAAAUCCUCAUCCAUACCCACACACAUGCUCUCGACCGCAGCCUUGCCCUGCGCUGUCGCCUUGCCCUCACCCACCUCUCUGUCCAUGCCCAGAUACACGCCCUCUUCCUUCUUCGCCGUCGAAAUGAGUAAGAUUGGGGAGGAGGAGAUGAAGAAGAUAAGAGCAAUUUGGUUAUUUUGUUACAUCGUAACUUUCUACGAAUAUUCUUUAAUUUUUAAGAAAUAAAGUGUAAAUUUUUAAUUGACUGCAAAAAAGAAAAAACUGGGAUGGACAUAAAGUUUUAUGUAAUUUAGCCUAUUUUCUAAGACUAUUAAUAAAAAAAAUUCUCCCUCAUCCAGGGAUGUAAUGUGGGCUGUGCCGGACUAGCACGACCCACAUUAUACAGGCCGAUUUGGGCCAAGGGUCGGCCCGGCCUGACUCGAUUAUUAAUCCGGACCGAACCGUGCCGGUCCGUUUACUUAGACUAUGAGGCCCGGCCUGGUCCCCUGGCUGGCCCAAUACGGGCCGUGCCGGGCUGGGCCGGGGUUCAUGCCAGCCCAUAUUUUGUUUUAAAUUUUUUCACACAGUUUUUUUUAGAAAUUUAUUUUUUUUCCAGAAAAAGAAAUAAUUUUUUUUUUAAAAUUAUAAAUUUGACUUAUAAUUUUUACUUUGCACAAUUAUACCCAACUUUUUGAAAACUUUUUAAUUAAAUUUUUUAAUAAUUUUUUAUUAUUUAAAGAGAAAAUAAUAUUUUAAAAAAUAAAUAAUAAAAAAUAUAUAAAGUUUGUAUUAAUUAUAUUAUAUAAUUACAUGAAAAAAAAUAAAAAAAAAUAUAUUUAAAUAAACAUAUUUAAAAUUAUUUUUUUAAAAAAAUAAUUUUGUUUUAAGGGUCUGACCCUUGGGUGUUGGAACUUGGGAGAGAGCUGUGAGAGAGAAAGAGAGAGAGAGAGAGAGAGAGAGAGAGAGAGAGAGAGAGGGGCAUGCUUCAAGUUGGGUCAAAUCAUUGUUAUAGGCUUAUAGGAUAUGGCCUUAUAGGCCUAGGCCCGGACCAGAGUCGUGCCGGGCCGGGCGGCCUACGAGCCGCCCGGCCCGUUUUACAAUCCUACCCUCAUCUCUCUCUCUCUCUCUCUCUCUCUCUCUUCCUCUUUCUCUCAAGGCGUUUGGCCAACUCUCGAAUCUCGAGACUCUCGACCCGGUGCCUCGCUCUCUCGCGAGAACGACGACGAGGACGAAGAGGAGUUGGUGCCGUGGUGGCGACAUCUAGGGUUUCCCCUCUCUCAGCCGCUUCCUCUCUCAUCGUCCUCACCCCGACGCACGGUCGCUCAGAAACCCUAAACCCCACUCGUCCUAUACUACUCGAUCACCACCUUCCUCGGCUCCUCCUCGCAUCGGAUUAGGGUAUUUUCGCACUAUCUAAGUAUUUUGCUGUUCUAUCUGAAAUGUGGCUGUAAAUUAGUAUAGAAGUAUGUUUUUGUUGAAGAACAAAUUAGUGAUAAUACAGUAUAACUCGAAUUUUCUUUUAUUAAUAGACUUAAAAAUAUAUAAUUAUAAAAGUAGUUUUUAAAAAAAAUAUUUACUAAACUAGGUCUAUGAGGAGAAUGAAUUACCGCCUUCUGAAUGCGGAGAAUCGGUUACCACUUUCUUUAAAGCAUUAAAAUUAUUUUUAGUGAUUAAUGCAGUACAUUUUUUGGAGUUUGGCGGCGAAUGAUUUACCGCUUUUAUAAAAAUUUUGGAUAUCUAUUCUUACAAUUAAAAUGAUCUGCAUGCUUAGUAGGCCAAAAACCCUGGUAACUUGACAUUGGAGUGCUCAAAUCCUAGAUGAUAUUAUGUUUGGUCAAUUUUGCUGAUGGAAAUAAGGUUUAAUGGCGAUCUCUCUUUCUUGCAAGACUCUGUUUUUAGGUGAGAAAUCAAUGAUUGUAACUGUUUCCUUGUGGACGAUUGGCAGUUUAGAUGUGUUUGGUAAUUCUCUGCCUAGAUGGAAUGGAAGAUAAUAACUUGCAGAAGUUUUUAAAGAACAAUUUCUCAAAAGAAAAGAAAAGAAAAAAGAAAAAAGAAUUGUUUGACGACCAUAGAAAAAUAAAGUUCAAAGGGGCAUAAAAAGGGUAGUAUGUGAUUUUGAGUGCGAAGUGAUUUGGUAGGGCCAUAGAAAAUCUAGCAACUUUUCAAUAAGAGAUGGAUUGCUUGUAGUUUAGCAUGUGAGUUUCCUUUCAUGAUAUUUUAACUUAGUAAAAAAAAUUCUGAGCUUUGUUUGAUGAAUGAUUUUGGAUGCACUUGACGUAUGAACUCCAUGACUUCAGAUUCUCUAGUUUUAAGUUAUGCUGGAAUUGCAUUUCCAUAAAUAAAUCUAGAGAAGCAUUGAUAAAGACGUGAGAGAUGUCCUUCCAUCUACAAUCGUAGAACUCUUUACAUCACUUGCAUUUCAGUGAACUACUUUAGCAGUUCUAUUUGUCUGUGCACUUUUCCAUGUGGCUUCUUACUAGAUUCAUCCGAUACAUCGGGCAAGCACUGAAUGUGGGGAAUAUUUAGUCGGACAUGUCCUAUAGAACACGUGGGGUAUGAACUGUUGGCUAGCACUUGAUUUUGCUUUGAGAUUCACUUGAAGUGCUAUCUGACAGCUCAUAUUCUAAGUGUCUGAUAGGGUGCAUCACACUAAUAUUUCUUUCCGUGAUUGAAUUUCUUUCUUUCAAACUUUGGUUAACUUCUCAUUAAGUCAUAAAAUGCCAACGUGGCGAUUUUUUUUUUUUUUUGUCAAUGAUCAAGGAUAUAAAAUAAGAGACCAUGUUAUUAAUUAGGAUUAGCGUCAAUCUCUCUGUAAGAGUUAAACCACUAGGACUGUUGGCUUAUUGUCUUUUUCAGCAAAACGGCAGUAAUACAUUUCUAAGCUCAAUCUAAUUGAGUAAUAUGUCUAAUUUUAGCUGAUUUUUAUAUUUGCAUUUUAACACUUUCUAUGAUGCAUGUUACCAAUCGAUAGCAGAGCUAAAGCAAAAAUUAUGGCAUAUAAUUCUAGUGUUGUGUCGAUAAAUAGCUGAUAUUUUUUGAUGGUUCGAAAGCCUGUUCCAAAGCCUAUUCAAUUUUUUGGGUCAACCUUAGGCACUUGUUUGUUUUGGGGAUGAUUCAGGUUACAGGGUCUUAUCCCACAAUUCUGCUGAACAAACUUUUUUCCUUUUGGAGGUAUGCUUAGAAGACUAAUUUGAAGUCGUGAAGAAGUAUGUGGUAGACCAUUUACUAGUACCCAAGGAUUUAAGUGCCCUGGCACGAGGUUGUGCCAGAAACUUGCCAGCACGAGACGGCAUGGCACGGUCCGUGCCGAGCCGUGCCGAUGUGUGCCGGUCAAAAAAAUUCUUGUGUGCUGACACAUAAUAGCAUGAAUAUUUAUUUUCUUUAGCAACAAAAUAUUCUAACUAUUUAUUAUGUCUUUUUAUCACAUUUUUUGAACUUUUUUGAAAAAUUUACUUACUAAUUUAAAGAAUAGAGGGUUUUGAGUUAUGCCAUCGACACGAGAUCUGUAUCAUGGCUGUAUCUUGUUGGCACGGUACGGCACUGUGGAUAUGGCCC